GGAGAGAUGGCAGAGUGGUCGAAUGCGCCCGCUUGCUAAGCGGGUGGGGGAUCACAAGUCCCCCCCCGGGUUCGAAUCCCGGUCUCUCCG
RNAcentral lists this transfer RNA (90 nucleotides) under Planctomycetota bacterium. Its description in RNAcentral is "tRNA-Ser". It matches the Rfam family "tRNA". Rfam says of the family: Transfer RNA (tRNA) molecules are approximately 80 nucleotides in length. Their secondary structure includes four short double-helical elements and three loops (D, anti-codon, and T loops). Lineage: Bacteria; Pseudomonadati; Planctomycetota. The record is from RNAcentral.